UACGGCGGUCAUGGCGGAGGGGAAACGCCCGGUUACAUUCCGAACCCGGAAGCUAGGCCCUCCCGCGCAGCUGGUUGCGCCCGCGGUGGCGG
This 92-nucleotide ribosomal RNA is filed under the name Micromonospora noduli. The record is from RNAcentral. Lineage: Bacteria; Bacillati; Actinomycetota; Actinomycetes; Micromonosporales; Micromonosporaceae.